Molecule: ribosomal RNA, 386 nt
Filed under: uncultured bacterium
Lineage: Bacteria
Description: bacterial SSU rRNA
Rfam family: Bacterial small subunit ribosomal RNA
Source: RNAcentral
ACUCCUACGGGAGGCAGCAGUGGGGAAUAUUGCACAAUGGGGGAAACCCUGAUGCAGCCAUGCCGCGUGUGUGAAGAAGGCCUUCGGGUUGCAAAGCACUUUCAGUAGGGAGGAAGGUAGUGUAGUUAACACCUGCAUUAUUUGACGUUACCUACAGAAGAAGCACCGGCUAACUCCGUGCCAGCAGCCGCGGUAAUACGGAGGGUGCGAGCGUUAAUCGGAAUUACGUGGGCGUAAAGCGCAUGCAGGCGGCCUGUUAAGUCAGAUGUGAAAGCCCGGGGCUUAACCUCGGAAUUGCAUUUGAAACUGGGCAGGCUAAGUGUCUUGGUAGAGGGGGUUAGAAUUUCGAGGUGUAGCGGUGAAAGUGCGUAGAGAUCUAGAAGGAA